GAGUUUGAUCCUGGCUCAGAACGAACGCUGGCGGCGUGCCUAACACAUGCAAGUCGAACGUGAUCCAGAGCUUGCUCUGGUGAAAGUGGCGCACGGGUGAGUAACGCGUGGAUAACCUACCCUGGUAUCCGGGAUAACAUUCCGAAAGGGGUGCUAAUACCGGAUAAGCCCACGGGCUCUUUGGAGCUUGCGGGAAAAGGUGGCCUCUAUUUAUAAGCUAYUGUAUCAGGAUGGGUCCGCGUACCAUUAGCUAGUUGGCGGUGUAACGGACCACCAAGGCGACGAUGGUUAGCUGGUCUGAGAGGAUGAUCAGCCACACUGGAACUGAGACMCGGUCCAGACUCCUACGGGAGGCAGCAGUGGGGAAUUUUGCGCAAUGGGGGAAACCCUGACGCAGCAACGCCGCGUGAGUGAUGAAGGCCUUUGGGUCGUAAAGCUCUGUCAGAGGGGAAGAAAUGAUAUAGUGCUAAUACCACUUUAUCUUGACGGUACCCUCAAAGGAAGCACCGGCUAACUCCGUGCCAGCAGCCGCGGUAAUAC
RNAcentral lists this ribosomal RNA (540 nucleotides) under uncultured Geobacteraceae bacterium. RNAcentral describes it as "bacterial SSU rRNA". It matches the Rfam family "Bacterial small subunit ribosomal RNA", at positions 9 to 526 of the family's 1533-position model. The record is from RNAcentral. Lineage: Bacteria; Pseudomonadati; Thermodesulfobacteriota; Desulfuromonadia; Geobacterales; Geobacteraceae.